This 1311-nucleotide ribosomal RNA is filed under the name uncultured bacterium. RNAcentral's name for it is "bacterial SSU rRNA". It matches the Rfam family "Bacterial small subunit ribosomal RNA", at positions 28 to 1381 of the family's 1533-position model. The record is from RNAcentral.
GGUGAACGCUAGCGGUGCGCCUAACACAUGCAAGUCGAGCGGGAUUAUUUCAAAAGCUUGCUUUUGAAAUAUGAGAGCGGCGAACGGGUGAGUAACACGUUGGAAUCUGCCCCCAAGUCAGGGAUAGCCUAGUGAAAACUAGAUUAAUACCGGAUAGUCUCUUUGGAGUAAAAAUUUAUUGCUUGGGGAGGAGCCUGCGUUCUAUCAGCUAGUUGGUGAGGUAAAAGCUUACCAAGGCUAUGACGGAUAACUGGUCUGAGAGGAUGAUCAGUCACAAUGGAACUGAGACACGGUCCAUACUCCUACGGGAGGCAGCAGUGAGGAAUCUUCCACAAUGGACGAAAGUCUGAUGGAGCGACACCGCGUGAAGGAUGAAGGCCUAACGGUUGUAAACUUCUUUUCUGAAGGAGCAUAAUGAGAGUACUUCAGGAAUAAGGGACGGCUAAACACGUGCCAGCAGCCGCGGUAAUACGUGUGUCUCGAGCGUUACCCGGGAAUCACUGGGUGUAAAGGGUUUGUAGGUGGUAUUUUAAGUCAGGUAUGAAAGACCGGAGCUUAACUCCGAGUUUGUGCUUGAAACUGGAAUACUAGAAUCAGGGAGAGGUAAGCGGAAUUCUAAGUGUAGGGGUGCAAUCCGUAGAUACUUAGAGGAACACCAAAAGCGAAGGCAGCUUACUGGAACUGUAUUGACGCUGAGAAACGAAAGCGUGGGGAGCGAAAAGGAUUAGAUACCCUUGUAGUCCACGCCCUAAACGAUGACAACUAAGUGUUGCAUAUAAAGAUGCAGUGCUGUAGCUAACGCGUUAAGUUGUCCACCUGAGGAGUACGGUCGCAAGAUUAAAACUCAAAAGAAUAGACGGGGACCCACACAAGCAGUGGAUCACGUGGUUUAAUUCGAUAAUAAACGGGGAACCUUAUCCAGACUUGACAUCCUAAGAAUACUUUAGAGAUAGAGUAGUGCUCGCAAGAGAGCUUAGAGACAGGUGCUGCAUGGUUGUCGUCAGCUCGUGCCUUGAGGUGUUCGGUUAAGUCCGUUAACGAGCGCAACCCAUAUCCUUAGUUACAAUGUCUAAGGAGACUGCCUUGGUUAACAAGGAGGAAGGUGUGGAUGACGUCAAAUCAGCAUGGCUUUUACGUCUGGGGCUACACACAUGAUACAAUGGUAUGUACAAAGAGUAGUGAAAUCGCGAGAUGGAACCAAUCUUUAAAACAUAUCUCAGUCCGGAUUGGAGUCUGCAACUCGACUCCAUGAAGUUGGAAUUGCUAGUAAUCGUAAAUCAGAUAUGUUACGGUGAAUGUGUUCCUGGGUCU